GGAGAUUUGAGUUGUUCAAGUAUAAUCCAUGUGGGGCUAUUAGAUAUCAGUAUGAGUUUGACUUUUUCAAUAAUCAAAUAAAGGAGAAUGGCAGGUCUUUUUUCGAACAAUUAGAAGAGAGAUUCAAAAAAGUGUAGCACAAUAUGUAUCGCCCUGUGCCUAUUACUACCCGAGGUGGGGAACCUACAGAUAGUGGAGAUCCUGUGGUGACGUUGGACCAAGUUCCACGUUGGAGUAAUGCGGAAUUUAGGUAUGCACAUGAGAAUGAAGAUCCUACUAAUUCAUGCUUUCCGGACCCCUUGGCAUCUGCUUCUGGGUCUGAAUUUAAUGGUAGUGGCAUAGUUUCCAAGUUUCCCAUGGAUCAUGAGAUUAACUCCAAGA
Molecule: unclassified non-coding RNA, 381 nt
Filed under: Hevea brasiliensis (rubber tree)
Lineage: Eukaryota; Viridiplantae; Streptophyta; Magnoliopsida; Malpighiales; Euphorbiaceae
Source: RNAcentral